This 400-nucleotide ribosomal RNA is filed under the name uncultured bacterium. Its description in RNAcentral is "bacterial SSU rRNA". It matches the Rfam family "Bacterial small subunit ribosomal RNA", at positions 355 to 772 of the family's 1533-position model. The record is from RNAcentral.
UAGGGAAUAUUAGAAAUGGACGAAAGUCUGAUCUAGCAACACCGCGUGUGCGAAGAAGGCCUUCGGGUUGUAAAGCACUUUUUGGAAGGAUUAGGAAGGAAUGUACUUCCAGAAUAAGUCUCGGCUAACACGUGCCAGCAGCCGCGGUAACACGUAGGAGGCAACGUUAUCCGGAUUUACUGGGCGUAAAGCGCGUGUAGGUGGUUCUGUAAGUAGGGCGUGAAAGCUCCUGGCUCAACUGGGAGAGGCCGGUUCUAAACUGCAGAGCUAGAGGAUGGUAGAGGGAGGUGGAAUUCCGGGUGUAGCGGUGGAAUGCGCAGAUAUCCGGAGGAACACCGAGUGGCGAAAGCGGCCUCCUGGACCAUUCCUGACACUCAGACGCGAAAGCUAGGGUAGCAAA